This 458-nucleotide ribosomal RNA is filed under the name uncultured bacterium. RNAcentral's name for it is "partial 16S ribosomal RNA". It matches the Rfam family "Bacterial small subunit ribosomal RNA", at positions 338 to 795 of the family's 1533-position model. The record is from RNAcentral.
CCUACGGGGGGCAGCAGUGGGGAAUAUUGCACAAUGGGGGAAACCCUGAUGCAGCGACGCCGCGUGAGUGAAGAAGUACUUCGUUACGUAAAGCUCUAUCAGCAGGGAAGAAAUACUGACCUUACGGUCAGCAGACGGUACCUGAGUAAGAAGCCCCGGCUAACUACGUGCCAGCAGCCGCGGUAAUACGUAGGGGGCAAGCGUUAUCCGGAUUUACUGGGUGUAAAGGGAGCGUAGACGGGGGGCCAAGUCUGAAGUGAAAUGCCGCAGCUUAACUGCGGAACUGCUUUGGAAACGGGCGAGCUAGAGGACUGGAGAGGUAGGCGGAAUUCCUAGUGUAGCGGUAAAAUGCGUAGAUAUUAGGAGGAACACCGGUGGCGAAGGCGGCUUACUGGACCGUAACUGACGUUGAGGCUCGAAAGCGUGGGGAGCAAACAGGAUUAGAUACCCGGGUAGUC